GAAACUCAAAGGAAUUGACGGGGGCCCGCACAAGCGGUGGAGCAUGUGGUUUAAUUCGAUGAUACGCGAGGAACCUUACCUGGGCUCAAAUGUAUGUUGACGUAUUCUGAAAGGGAUACUUCUUCGGACAAUAUACAAGGUGCUGCAUGGUUGUCGUCAGCUCGUGCCGUGAGGUGUCGGGUUAAGUCCCAUAACGAGCGCAACCCCUACUGCUAGUUGCCAGCGGGUCAUGCCGGGGACUCUAGCGGAACUGCCAGCGUAAGCUGCGAGGAAGGUGGGGAUGACGUCAAAUCAGCACGGCCCUUACGUCCAGGGCUACACACGUGUUACAAUGGCCAGUACAGAGGGCAGCCACCCGCGAGGGGCGCUAAUCCUAAAAGCUGGUCCCAGUUCGGAUCGGAGUCUGCAACCCGACUCCGUGAAGCUGGAUUCGCUAGUAAUCGCGCAUCAGCCACGGCGCGGUGAAUACGUUCCCGGGCCUU
This 482-nucleotide ribosomal RNA is filed under the name uncultured Bacteroidota bacterium. Its description in RNAcentral is "bacterial SSU rRNA". It matches the Rfam family "Bacterial small subunit ribosomal RNA", at positions 896 to 1382 of the family's 1533-position model. The record is from RNAcentral. Lineage: Bacteria; Pseudomonadati; Bacteroidota.